GAGUUUGAUCCUGGCUCAGAGUGAACGCUGGCGGCAGGCCUAACACAUGCAAGUCGAACGGCAGCACAGUCCCGCAACGGGAGUGGGUGGCGAGUGGCGGACGGGUGAGGAAUACGAUCGGAAAUCUACCUUGUCGUGGGGGAUAACGUAGGGAAACUUACGGCUAAAUACCCGCAUACGACCUACGGGUGAAAGCGGCGGACCGCAAGGCGUCGCGCGAUUGGAUGAGCCGAUGUCCGAUUAGCUAGUUGGCGGGGUAAAGGCCCACCAAGGCGACGAUCGGUAGCUGGUCUGAGAGGAUGAUCAGCCACACUGGAACUGAGACACGGUCCAGACUCCUACGGGAGGCAGCAGUGGGGAAUAUUGGACAAUGGGCGCAAGCCUGAUCCAGCCAUGCCGCGUGUGUGAAGAAGGCCUU
Molecule: ribosomal RNA, 418 nt
Filed under: uncultured Gammaproteobacteria bacterium
Lineage: Bacteria; Pseudomonadati; Pseudomonadota; Gammaproteobacteria
Description: bacterial SSU rRNA
Rfam family: Bacterial small subunit ribosomal RNA
Source: RNAcentral